RNAcentral lists this ribosomal RNA (780 nucleotides) under uncultured bacterium. RNAcentral's name for it is "bacterial SSU rRNA". It matches the Rfam family "Bacterial small subunit ribosomal RNA", at positions 9 to 804 of the family's 1533-position model. The record is from RNAcentral.
GAGUUUGAUCCUGGCUCAGGGUGAACGCUGGCGGCGCGCUUAUUGCAUGCAAGUCGAGCGUGAUCGUGGCUUCGGCCACAAUGAUAAAGCGGCAGACGGCUGAGUAACGCGUGAGUAAUCUGCCCUCCGGUGGGGUAUAACCUCGGGAAACUGAGGAUAAUCCCGCAUACGACCUGCAUCCCUUGGGGUGUAGAUGAAAGGCUUCGGUCGCCGGAGGAGGAGCUCGCGUCCUAUCAGGUUGUUGGUGAGGUAAUGGCUCACCAAGCCGAUGACGGGUAGCUGGUCUGAGAGGAUGACCAGCCAGAGGGGGACUGAGAACGGCCCCCACUCCUACGGGAGGCAGCAGCAGGGAAUCUUGGGCAAUGGGCGAAAGCCUGACCCAGCGACGUCGCGUGGGGGACGAAGGCCUUCGGGUUGUAAACCCCUUUUCCGAGGGAAGAGAAAGGACGGUACCUCGGGAAUAAGCCCCGGCUAACUACGUGCCAGCAGCCGCGGUAAUACGUAGGGGGCAAGCGUUACCCGGAAUCACUGGGCGUAAAGUGCGCGUAGGCGGUUGGAUAAGUCUCUUGUGAAAGCUCCCGGCUCAACUGGGAGAGGUCAAGGGAUACUAUUUGACUAGAGGACAGCAGAGGUAAGCAGAAUUCCCGGUGUAGCGGUGGAAUGCGUAGAUAUCGGGAGGAACACCAGUGGCGAAAGCGGCUUACUGGGCUGUGUCUGACGCUGAGGCGCGAGAGGCGUGGGGAGCAAACUGGAUUAGAGACCCUGGUGUCAGGGGCGAGG